Molecule: ribosomal RNA, 1258 nt
Filed under: uncultured bacterium
Lineage: Bacteria
Description: bacterial SSU rRNA
Rfam family: Bacterial small subunit ribosomal RNA
Source: RNAcentral
GUGCAGAAUGUCGGCGAGCGGCGAACGGCUGAGUAACGCGUAGGAAUUUGCCCCAAAGUGAGGAAUAACUGCCCGAAAGGGUAGCUAAUACCGCAUAUGGUCUUCGGAUUAAAGGAUUUAUCCGCUUUGGGAGAAGCCUGCGUUGGAUUAGGUUGUUGGUAGGGUAAUGGCCUACCAAGCCGACGAUCCAUAGCUGGUCUGAGAGGAUGAUCAGCCAGACUGGAACUGAGACACGGUCCAGACUCCUACGGGAGGCAGCAGUGAGGAAUCUUCCACAAUGGGCGAAAGCCUGAUGGAGCAACGCCGCGUGAAGGAUGAAGGCCUUCGGGUUGUAAACUUCUUUUAUGAGUGGAGAAUAUGACGGUAACUCAUGAAUAAGCACCGGCUAACUACGUGCCAGCAGCCGCGGUCAUACGUAGGGUGCGAGCAUUAUCCGGAGUGACUGGGCGUAAAGAGUUGCGUAGGCGGUUUAAUAAGUGAAUAGUGAAACCUGGUGGCUCAACCAUACAGACUAUUAUUCAAACUGUUAAACUCGAGAAUGGUAGAGGUAACUGGAAUUUCUUGUGUAGGAGUGAAAUCCGUAGAUAUAAGAAGGAACACCAAUGGCGUAGGCAGGUUACUGGGCCAUUUCUGACGCUAAGGCACGAAAGCGUGGGGAGCGAACCGGAUUAGAUACCCGGGUAGUCCACGCCGUAAACGAUGGAUACUAGCUGUUGGAGGUAUCGACCCCUUCAGUAGCGAAGCUAACGCGUUAAGUAUCCCGCCUGUGGAGUACGGCCGCAAGGCUAAAACAUAAAGGAAUUGACGGGGACCCGCACAAGCGGUGGAUUAUGUUCUUUAAUUCGAUGAUAACCGAAGAACCUUACCAGGGCUUGACAUCCAGGGAAGGUCUGCGAAAGUAGACUGUGCCUUUUGGAACCCUGUGACAGGUGAUGCAUGGCCGUCGUCAGCUCGUGUCGUGAGAUGUUAGGUUAAGUCCUUCAACGAGCGCAACCCUUGCAAGUAGUUGUAUUUUUCUACUUGGACUGCCCCGGUAACGGGGAGGAAGGAGGGGAUGAUGUCAGGUCAGUAUUUCCCUUACGUCCUGGGCUAGAAACGUAAUACAAUGGCUAGUACAAUGCGCAGCGAAGCCGCGAGGUGAAGCAAAUCGCAUCAAAGCUAGUCCCAGUUCGGAUUGGAGGCUGAAACUCGCCUCCAUGAAGUCGGAAUCGCUAGUAAUCGCAAAUCAGCAAGUUGCGGUGAAUACGUUCCCGGGUCU